CCGAAGAAAAUACGCCAUAUUGUGCUGAACAGGAGGGCGAAAGAAGUCAAAUCGUUCUUUCUUAAACAGAGAUAUUGUUUUUGUUUUAACACACAGAUGUGUCAGAUAUUAGAGAAACUGGCUGCUUUACACAGCAGAGAGAGUGCACUCUGGUGACCAGGAACUGUACAGCAAUCAUUUCAUAAAUUUGCUGUACUUUGCAAAAGCCUCAAUCCGGCCUUGAACGUUUCAAUAUGUUGUUAUGUUACAACCACAAAAGUUUGAUGCAUUUAUUUUGGUUUUAUGUGACUGAUUAACUCAAAUUAGUGCAUACUAGAAGUGGAAGGAAAGUGAUUCAUAGUUUUCAAUUCUCUGCUAAUUAAAAUCUAAAAAAGUGUGCAUUUAUAUUACUCACCAGAGUUAAUGCUUUUACAGCUACAAGCUUUUUAGGGUAUGUCUCUACCAGUUUUGCAUAUCUAGAGACUCAGGUUUUUGUCUUUUUUUUCUUUACAGAAUAAUUCAAGCUCAGCAAGACUGAAUGGAGAGGCUGUGAACAUCAAUUUGCAAAUUUUGCCAAACAGUCUAAGUUGGAUUUGGACUUUGACUGGGCUAUUCUAACACAUAUAAAGGCCAUAUCUUUUGGGCGUUGUUCUGUAAACAGAUUUUCUCAGGUGUCACUUACUCCAAGGUUAUCAUCCCAGCUUCUCUGAUUAAUGCUGUCCUUGGCCAGCCUGUCGGUUUAGGUGGACGUUCAUGUCUUGGUAGGUUUGCAGUUGUGCCAUCCUCUUUCUAUUUUCAGAGGAUGAAUUGAACAGUGCAGGGUUCAGUUGCAAUGUACUGUAUUUUUUCCUCAUCCCACGCACCCAGACAGUCUUGAUAACUGUUACAAAGACUGAUUAGUUAAAGUGGUGUUAACUUUUUUAUAGGUUUUUAUAGGUUUUCUGAAGGUCUCCAAAGAUUUUCUAUUUAAUUUCACCACUUGUUCAUAGAUGUUCAGUGUAGUGCUUGCAGAUUUAAAGCAAUGACAUUUGUUAAACAGCUGCUGACCAACAAAUCAUUCACUUAAUAAUAAUAAUAAACUGAAGGGACGGACCAGUGUUGCGACAUCAGAUAAUCCACAACUUAACAAAGAUCUUUCUUUUAAAAUACGCAGAAUCUACUUUAUUUGCUUGACAGCUUCAAAAGUUGUUGGAAGGACAUGAUCUCUUUAAUUAUCUCAAGCUGAGCAAUAUCAACAUUUACAGCAUAGAAUAGUUAAAUACAGCACCCUCUACACUGGAACAACCGUUAAUGUGUGAAAAAUAAAUUUUUGUUUUUGCAGUAGCAAAAUUGCUCUGGAAAUGUAAAAAUAAAUUCAAUUUUAAGUUGCAGGAAAGAUCCUAUGUAAAAUAAUACAUUUAUUUAACAAAAUCAAAGAUGCCAUACUUGUAGCCACCCCAGCAAUUCCUACACGAAGCUUUACUUUACCCUUUUUUAAGUUGAUAAAACUAUCUUUAGGAAUCCAUGAUUUUUAGCUAAGUUUUAAAUAUGACAAGACAUAGAGGGCAAUGCCAUAGGACUACUCUCCGAAUGGGAAAGACACGAGAACAUGUCAUUCCAUUUAAGUGGUUGUGUGUGGAUUUUCAUAAGUCAGUCAUGGUCAAAUGAAACUAAGGUUGAGCACUUGGCAACAAACGUGUGUGGCCAAAAACAAAGGUUGAAUGUGUGGAAAAGCAUUACAGGUCCACUGUUAAGUACGGUGGAGGGCUGUGAUGCUGUGGUCUGAGUGCUCUACUAAUGGUAAAACAGAGUCUUACAAAGCAUUGACAGCAGGGGUGACAAUAAUAGUGGAAUCAGUGGUUAUGUAAAAAAAUUAUAAUUUUUGAAAGAGGGAUUUUUCCCCAAUGAACAAAUUUAAACUCAAAUUAAAAUUAGGAUUUUUCUACAUUUUCAGGGGGAGUUUAAGCUACUGCAAUUAAAAACAAAAUUUUAUUUUAAGGCUUUUUUAACAGCUUUACCAGAGGUGCCAGUCUGGAGCUUUAGAUCACUAGAAAACUUUCAAAUAUUUACAGAAUUUAGCAUUCUGGUGACAAGGAUACACAUCCAUCCCAUGGACAGAAUAUUUACACUUCUUUACCCCGAAAAAGACUGCCUGAGGUCGACGAGCUGCUCUCUUCCUGUCGGUCACGUUGCUGACGGCUCGCUGAUCUCCAGCAUGUUGGUGCUGAUGUGGAAGCAGAUAUAGGAGGAGUACUCCUGCUGGCAGAGCCCUGGGAUGUCACAACUCACCUGUUUGGGAGAUAAGACAGAAAACCAUCACAGACUCAUUGAUUCAACCGUGAAAUUGAUCUUUUCACCGCCGGAGUGUUUGUAUGACAUGCAAAUUUAAAUUUACGGGUUAAAUUAUGCCUUAAUGUGGAUGCGAUGAAAGUCCUUUACACCAAGUGAAUGGUGGAUAAAGAAGGCAACAUCAAACAGUUCCUACUGCUUCUUCACCUGAAUUUAAUUUCCGUUAGGAAUUUCUAUCUGGAGUUUAUCAACUCAAGAUUCUGCCAAAACCAUAAGCCUUAUUCCGUUGCUAGUUUGUAAUCUGGUUCUUGUUACCCUUUGCUUGAAUCAUGUGCCUCAACUCCACGUUCACCUGCAUGCUGAUUAGCUUGAAUCAUGUGGCUAUCAUGUCACUUCUUCCAGCCAGUGGUUUGUCAUAUUCUUGACUGCUUCUCACUGACAUAAAUACAACCCUUAGGACUAAAUAUUCCAGUUGUAAAUCUAGGUCAGAAUUGCCCAAAUCCAGUCCUCACAAUCUACUAUCCUGCAACUUUUAGAUGCAUCCCUUCUCACACCCCUUAAUGAAAUGGUUAAAAUUUUUAUUUUAUCAACAUGUUUCUGACUUGAAACUAAGAUAAAAUGUGUGAAGGGACCUAAAGAUUAGGGUCAUGCCAAUGAGACUUGGAACUCAUCACUAAAAAUAACUCAUUAAAUACCAGUGGAGACAUGACAAAAAGCUGGUCAGCCAUUAAGCCAUUAAGCCAUGAAAGUAAUUAAUGAUCGACCGCAUAGCUUUAGUUCUGACAACUUUACCUAUUCAAAUAACCGUUAAUUUUAUUUUAUAUUUUAACUUGUUUGAUAUUGUAGCUUUUUAAUUUUUAUUUAAAAUCAUAUUUUACUGUAUUCAAUUUUUUUUAUCUUACUUGUAUUUCAUUUCAGUUUAAUUUUGUCUCCUAUUUUGUUUUGAAUUUUAUUUUAUUUUUUCUAUUUAACUUGAUAAAGCGCUAUACAAGUUCAGGCCAUUUACCAUUAUCAGUUAAUUUAUUCAGAAAACGUAGCAUAUAGACUGAAAGUUCAAAUUGUUUAAAUUUAAUUAAAGUUUUUAACUUUGCUUUGGUCUUAUUGUAAUUUAUCUGUUUUUUGAUACAGUUAGGAUUUACAAACUGAGCAUUUGCUUAGUUUUUGGUACCAUCAAUCAUCAUUAGAAUCAUCAGUCGGUUAUUUUACCUACUGUUUGUGCAUAUUUUUGCUUAGCACAUGUGGAUUUGUGUGGUAACUGUAUAAUAAUGUAUAAAGGAAGUUGAACUGAUUCAAUGACAAAGAGCAGAAAUUAAAAUACUCUUUAAGAAAA
This is a long non-coding RNA of Girardinichthys multiradiatus, 3577 nucleotides long. RefSeq lists it as uncharacterized. The record is from RefSeq and is a predicted model, not a curated record. Lineage: Eukaryota; Metazoa; Chordata; Actinopteri; Cyprinodontiformes; Goodeidae. The transcript is spliced from 2 exons.